Molecule: ribosomal RNA, 468 nt
Filed under: Lactiplantibacillus plantarum
Lineage: Bacteria; Bacillati; Bacillota; Bacilli; Lactobacillales; Lactobacillaceae
Description: bacterial SSU rRNA
Rfam family: Bacterial small subunit ribosomal RNA
Source: RNAcentral
AGUGGCGAACUGGUGAGUAACACGUGGGAAACCUGCCCAGAAGCGGGGGAUAACACCUGGAAACAGAUGCUAAUACCGCAUAACAACUUGGACCGCAUGGUCCGAGCUUGAAAGAUGGCUUCGGCUAUCACUUUUGGAUGGUCCCGCGGCGUAUUAGCUAGAUGGUGGGGUAACGGCUCACCAUGGCAAUGAUACGUAGCCGACCUGAGAGGGUAAUCGGCCACAUUGGGACUGAGACACGGCCCAAACUCCUACGGGAGGCAGCAGUAGGGAAUCUUCCACAAUGGACGAAAGUCUGAUGGAGCAACGCCGCGUGAGUGAAGAAGGGUUUCGGCUCGUAAAACUCUGUUGUUAAAGAAGAACAUAUCUGAGAGUAACUGUUCAGGUAUUGACGGUAUUUAACCAGAAAGCCACGGCUAACUACGUGCCAGCAGCCGCGGUAAUACGUAGGUGGCAAGCGUUGUCCGG